This 439-nucleotide ribosomal RNA is filed under the name uncultured bacterium. RNAcentral's name for it is "bacterial SSU rRNA". It matches the Rfam family "Bacterial small subunit ribosomal RNA", at positions 338 to 794 of the family's 1533-position model. The record is from RNAcentral.
CCUACGGGCUGCAGCAGUGGGGAAUAUUGGACAAUGGGCGAAAGCCUGAUCCAGCAAUGCCGCGUGUACGAAGAAGGUCUUCGGAUUGUAAAGCACUUUCGACGGGGACGAUGAUGACGGUACCCGUAGAAGAAGCCCCGGCUAACUUCGUGCCAGCAGCCACGGUAAUACGAAGGGGGCUAGCGUUGCUCGGAAUGACUGGGCGUAAAGGGCGCGUAGGCGGUUUAUGCAGUCAGAUGUGAAAUCCCCGGGCUUAACCUGGGAACUGCAUUUGAGACGCAUAGACUAGAGGUCGAGAGAGGGUUGUGGAAUUCCGAAUGUAGAGGUGAAAUUCGUAGAUAUUGGGAAGAACACCGGUGGCGAAGGCGGCAACCUGGCUCGAUACUGACGCUGAGGCGCGAAAGCGUGGGGAGCAAACAGGAUUAGAUACCCGCGUAGU